AUGUCCAGGUCAUGAUGAGCAUCUGAUUGUCUUCAGCGACACAAAGAUCCAGUGCUGAUCUGUUUUCAAUGGCAGUUUAGCUGCAGUUUGUCAGAAGAGCGAGGAAAGGACUCUCUCUCUAAGAUGAGUCUCUCAGAGAAACAGAGUGUAAGAUCAGUUUCACAUGACAGCUCUGUGUCUGUGAAGAGUGACCGUUCAAAAGAUGACGGACCAUAUUUCAGUGAGGAAACGCCAUCAGCUGCUCAAAGGUCAGGCUCACAUGUGUCCAGCUCUUUGAAGAGUGACCAUUCAAGAGUAGAAGGGUCAGAUUUCAGUGAGGAAACA
Molecule: long non-coding RNA, 324 nt
Organism: Megalobrama amblycephala (Wuchang bream)
Lineage: Eukaryota; Metazoa; Chordata; Actinopteri; Cypriniformes; Xenocyprididae
Exons: 3
Source: RefSeq, a predicted model, not a curated record